GUGGGUAUAGCUCAGUGGUAGAGUGCAUGCUUAACAUGCACAGUGUCUGGGGUUCAAUCCCCAGUAUCUCCA
RNAcentral lists this transfer RNA (72 nucleotides) under Camelus bactrianus (Bactrian camel). It matches the Rfam family "tRNA". Rfam says of the family: Transfer RNA (tRNA) molecules are approximately 80 nucleotides in length. Their secondary structure includes four short double-helical elements and three loops (D, anti-codon, and T loops). RNAcentral also lists the same sequence under 3 other names. The record is from Rfam by way of RNAcentral. Lineage: Eukaryota; Metazoa; Chordata; Mammalia; Artiodactyla; Camelidae.